RNAcentral lists this transfer RNA (71 nucleotides) under Arachidicoccus ginsenosidimutans. RNAcentral's name for it is "Arachidicoccus sp. BS20 tRNA". It matches the Rfam family "tRNA". Rfam says of the family: Transfer RNA (tRNA) molecules are approximately 80 nucleotides in length. Their secondary structure includes four short double-helical elements and three loops (D, anti-codon, and T loops). Further hydrogen bonds mediate the characteristic L-shaped molecular structure. tRNAs have two regions of fundamental functional importance: the anti-codon, which is responsible for specific mRNA codon recognition, and the 3' end, to which the tRNAs corresponding amino acid is attached (by aminoacyl-tRNA synthetases). tRNAs cope with the degeneracy of the genetic code in two manners: having more than one tRNA (with a specific anti-codon) for a particular amino acid; and 'wobble' base-pairing, i.e. permitting non-standard base-pairing at the 3rd anti-codon position. The record is from Rfam by way of RNAcentral. Lineage: Bacteria; Pseudomonadati; Bacteroidota; Chitinophagia; Chitinophagales; Chitinophagaceae.
UUGGCUUUAGCUUAUGUGGUAAAGCGCCACUCUGUGAAAGUGAGGAACAGGGUUCAAAUCCCGAAGUCAAC